GGUGGUCUAGCUAGAGGUAGAGCACGUGCUUAGCAUGCACGAGGUCCAGGGUUCAAUCCCCAGCACCUCCA
This 71-nucleotide transfer RNA is filed under the name Camelus bactrianus (Bactrian camel). It matches the Rfam family "tRNA". From Rfam's summary of the family: Transfer RNA (tRNA) molecules are approximately 80 nucleotides in length. The record is from Rfam by way of RNAcentral. Lineage: Eukaryota; Metazoa; Chordata; Mammalia; Artiodactyla; Camelidae. RNAcentral also lists the same sequence under 2 other names.